Molecule: non-coding RNA, 1083 nt
Organism: Pantherophis guttatus
Lineage: Eukaryota; Metazoa; Chordata; Lepidosauria; Squamata; Colubridae
Source: RefSeq, a predicted model, not a curated record
CGCUGGCUGAACCGGGGGCCCUCCUCACCACCAUAAUGCCCCCCUUUGGCUACUCUCAUCCUGACUGGUAGACUCCGCCUGCUUACCUUCCAAAAUAAUGGGGGAUGCAGCCUUAGAUCUUCAAUGAGGCUGCUCCUGUGAGAUAUAUUAUGGUUUAUGGUGGGAAUGUCGUGAGCAGCUUCCUCAUGUAAUCUGGAGAUAUUCCUAGACAGAUAAUACUUCAAAUGAACCAGCCGGCUAUUUGGGUUUGCCAGUUAAGAGAUGCCGCAAAGUAAGAGCCGGGAGCGGACCGCGAGCGCUUUGCGCCUAUACACUUUCCUGGGUACGAAGGCCUGCGGGCGUCGUACCCAGGCCUCGCCCCGUAAUACCACGAGCCGGGCCUGCCUAGGCUAAGCGCCCGCCCAACCCACUACCGAAGGCGGGAGAAGGUCGCCUCACCGUUUCCAUCCGUCGCAAAGGAAGAGCAGAACAACGCCAGGGGAAAAAGGGAAAUGACCGCAAGUAGAGAACUCCGGUUAAUCAUCCUCUCAAAGAAGAAAACGUUCGCCGUCCGCAGCGGAGGAGGCUGGAAGGAGCCGGCGGGGCGGUUGAACCAGGCCUAGGGAAGUGGUUCGCGCGCCCUCCCGCAGCAGCUUCUUGGAACUCGGCCUCCGCCGACGCGUGAAAGGUCCGAGUUGCGGACCAAGGGAAGAGAAAGGGAGAGAGGUUUUAAUCCGCUUCCCUGCGGUUAUUUACCAAUUGCCAGGAUGCGAUUCUAAUCCCCGUGAAGUAAUCGAUUUAUACGCCGCUUAUCUUCCUGUAUCUUUUUAACACGCAUGAAAUUGGUGAAAUAGGACUUAUUGAAUGGAAUGGACAAAGAAACAGACGACGAAGGAGACCGAGUUACAGGGGUCCAUGAUAGACUUUUAAUCUUUGCCUGUCUGAAGCCCAUUAGCUGCCAUUAAGUAUAGACAACUCUGAGUCACACUAGUGGUCUGAUUCAUGUAAGAGGAUUUCUAUAUAUUAUGAAGGAAAAGGAAGCAUGACAGAUAGCUUUAUGCAUAUAUAAGAAAGGUAAACAAAUAAAUGUAUUUAUAGCCUAGA